GUCUACGGCCAUGCUAUCCUGAACAAGCCCAAUCCUGUCUGAUCUCGGAAGCUAAGCAAGGUCAGGUCUAUUUAGUACUUGGAUGGAAGACCACCUAGGAAGGCCACCUAGGAAGACCAGGUGCUGUAGGCC
This is a ribosomal RNA of Pteropus vampyrus (large flying fox), 132 nucleotides long. NCBI's taxonomy places the organism in Eukaryota, Metazoa, Chordata, Mammalia, Chiroptera, Pteropodidae. The record is from Ensembl.